Molecule: long non-coding RNA, 253 nt
Filed under: Capsella rubella
Lineage: Eukaryota; Viridiplantae; Streptophyta; Magnoliopsida; Brassicales; Brassicaceae
Description: long non-coding RNA (CRUB_LNC001487)
Source: RNAcentral
GGACAAUCUAAGGAUUGUAAAAAGAGAAUGUAUAAUGUGUGAGUGGGAGAUUUGCAUUUAUAUUUCUUUCUUUCUUUUUUUAAAGAAAAUUUAUAAGUAACAAAAGAUAAAUGAAAAAAGUUGGCCAAAGUAGAAAAUGGUUGGGAGGAAAAUGACAAGAAGAAUGUUUGAAGGGAAGCACAUGGAUUGGUUUGUUUGGAUGAUUAUUGUGAGAUAUAUAAACCCCUUUUUUCAUGCUCCCCACUUACCUCCC